This 60-nucleotide transfer RNA is filed under the name Systropus sp. 2 YXA-2022a. RNAcentral describes it as "tRNA-Glu". It matches the Rfam family "tRNA". Rfam says of the family: Transfer RNA (tRNA) molecules are approximately 80 nucleotides in length. Their secondary structure includes four short double-helical elements and three loops (D, anti-codon, and T loops). The record is from RNAcentral. Lineage: Eukaryota; Metazoa; Arthropoda; Insecta; Diptera; Bombyliidae.
AUUUAUGUAGUUUAAAAAACAUUACAUUUUCACUGUAAAAAUAGAGUAAUCUCAUAAAUA